CUGAUUACGCGGAAACAAACAUAAACUCAACUUGUCUAAAGAUUAGUAUGAAACAAAGCAUCUCCUGGACUGGAUCUCGCUUCUGGAACAAAUGGGGUCCAACACUUCGCAUCCCAACUCAACUACAUUCGCCAUGCAUGCCGCCGCAUAUCAGAAACGUCGUGAACAACUUGAUCUAGCCACGGAGGCGAAGAAGCAAGAAAUUCUGCAGGAUGAACAAGAAGAAAUUGACGAGUGGGACAAUCGUGCUAGGAAUCUGAAACAAAUCCUAAACAAAUAAGUAGUAGUAAUGAUUAGCAAAUUUAUGGAAAUACAAUUAAAUAAGUAUUCAAGUAUUUUGUAAAAUAUUGAAAAUGAGGGAGCACAAAAACUCGAUCAAAACAAAGUCAAAUUGCUUUUACGAAAUUGUACUAAAUAUUUAAAUACUCCGUGCAUGCAUAAAUAUUAUUACUAUAUAGUGAUUAUUAUUAGUGAUUUCUCUGUUUUGUAAACAAACAUGCAAGAUGAAUACUUUAUGUGAAUACUAAGGGGAUCACAGAUCCAAUUACAAACCGGGUGUAAUUGGUGACCCGGGCAAUUUUUUUUCGGCUAUGCACAAUCAGAAUAAUUUAAUAACAGGCGUUAAACCAAUGCCAUAAUUACGGAAGCUUGUUAAAUUUUGAAACCUUGGGCUCAAGACGAUUAUGUAGAAAUAGAGUAUUUACAUUAUUUGCUUCUCUUCGGACUAAUAAAUUAUGUAAUUUGGUUAUCAUGCAUGCUUGGUAAUGCAGAUCAA
Molecule: long non-coding RNA, 775 nt
Organism: Folsomia candida
Lineage: Eukaryota; Metazoa; Arthropoda; Collembola; Entomobryomorpha; Isotomidae
Exons: 2
Source: RefSeq, a predicted model, not a curated record